This is a small nucleolar RNA of Equus caballus (horse), 217 nucleotides long. The record is from Ensembl. NCBI's taxonomy places the organism in Eukaryota, Metazoa, Chordata, Mammalia, Perissodactyla, Equidae.
AAGACUAUACUUUCAGGGAUUAUUUCUGUAGUUCGUUACUAGAGAAGUUUCUCUGAACGUGUAGAGCACCCGAAACCACGAGGAGGAGGCGCAGCGUUCUCUUCUGAGCGUGAAGCCGGCUCUUGGUGUUGCUUUCAGCAACUGCCACUUGCCGUUGAUGAUCGUUCUACUUCUUUUUCUGGGGAAGUAAAAGGGAGAGAACGCCGUCUGAGUGGUG